UACGUAGGGUGCGAGCGUUAAUCGGAAUUACUGGGCGUAAAGCGUGCGCAGGCGGUUAUGUAAGACAGAUGUGAAAUCCCCGGGCUCAACCUGGGAACUGCAUUAGUGACUGCAUAGCUGGAGUACGGCAGAGGGAGAUGGAAUUCCGCGUGUAGCAGUGAAAUGCGUGGAUAUGCGGAGGAACACCGAUGGCGAAGGCAAUCCCCUGGGCCUGUACUGACGCUCAUGCACGAAAGCGUGGGGAGCAAACAGGAUUAGAAACCCUAGUAGUCC
This 273-nucleotide ribosomal RNA is filed under the name uncultured Curvibacter sp. RNAcentral describes it as "partial 16S ribosomal RNA". It matches the Rfam family "Bacterial small subunit ribosomal RNA", at positions 524 to 796 of the family's 1533-position model. The record is from RNAcentral. Lineage: Bacteria; Pseudomonadati; Pseudomonadota; Betaproteobacteria; Burkholderiales; Comamonadaceae.